RNAcentral lists this ribosomal RNA (449 nucleotides) under uncultured bacterium. RNAcentral describes it as "bacterial SSU rRNA". It matches the Rfam family "Bacterial small subunit ribosomal RNA", at positions 330 to 793 of the family's 1533-position model. The record is from RNAcentral.
CCCAGACUCCUACGGGAGGCAGCAGUGGGGGAUAUUGGACAAUGGGGGAAACCCUGAUCCAGCGACGCCGCGUGAGUGAAGAAGUAUUUCGGUAUGUAAAGCUCUGUCAGCAGGGAAGAAAGAAAUGACGGUACCUGACCAAGAAGCCCCGGCUAACUACGUGCCAGCAGCCGCGGUAAUACGUGGGGGGCAAGCGUUAUCCGGAAUUACUGGGUGUAAAGGGCGCGUAGGUGGGCGCUUAAGUCAGGUGUGGAAACUCCGGGCUCAACCUGGAGACUGCACUUGAAACUGGGUGUCUUGAGGGCAGGAGAGGAAAGUGGAAUUCCUAGUGUAGCGGUGAAAUGCGUAGAUAUUAGGAGGAACACCAGUGGCGAAGGCGGCCUGCUGGGCUUUUACUGACGCUGAGGCUCGAAAGUGUGGGGAGCAAACAGGAUUAGAUACCCGAGUAC